CUCGUCCGCCGGCCCGGCUGGGGAGUGGCGGGCGUGGGGGUGAGACGGGGCCACCCCGCGAGGGCUGGAUCUGCGGCCGGAACAGGGCAGCCGCCGGGGCUUGGCCGGAGCCGGGCCGCCCUGGAGACGACUCCCAGGUCUGAAGUCACCUGUAAAUCUCCAUGCCCGGAGGUCAACGUUACCCGCAAGAUUCGCACUCAGUGCCCACCUGGCAGCUCCUCUGCACAGAGGCCCAUCAAAGUUGCAGGGAGACCUUGCCCCCCACAGGUUUUAAGAUAAGGAAGGAGGGAAGGCACCGGCGCUUGCGCACUGCCCGGGUGAGAGGGGGCUGCACCCUGCCCGUGGCCAGAGGCCCCUGCUCCUCCACCUGGACCCCUCCUCGCCCUGGCUUGAUGUGAUGGUAAGACCGGAGG
Molecule: long non-coding RNA, 413 nt
Filed under: Dasypus novemcinctus (nine-banded armadillo)
Lineage: Eukaryota; Metazoa; Chordata; Mammalia; Cingulata; Dasypodidae
Description: lncRNA (ENSDNOG00000050522.1)
Source: RNAcentral